CUGCGCGGCUUGCUCCAGCAAGGUAAAAUUUCCCACUGCGAGGCAGGCAGUGAUGCUGCGGCCGCUUCGCACUGUGGCUCCUGCCGACCGCCAGGCGCUGUUACAGUGGAUGCGAACUAACCGUAAGUAUGCAGCAGCAGCCGGAACCCACAGUUCACCUUGGUGCAUUCCUUUAUGAUGAAGACUUAUUGAUUCAUUAUAUGAGAAAGGAAAAAUGAGCAGAAACUACUGUAUGAUGUGCAGCUCACACCAGACAGCAACUUUAGGGUUAUCUUUCCAGUUCAGCAGUGCAACUCUAUGGAGUAGAAUUGAAAGGAGACUUUUCGCCAAUUGCAGGAAAUGGUCAUAAAAAAAUACCUGCUCACUGACAGAAUAAAGAUGGAGUGUCACUCUGUCACCCUGACUAGAGUGCAGUGGCACGAUCUCGGCUCACUGAAACCUCCACCUUCCAGGUUCAAGCGAUUCUUCUGCCUCAGCCUGCUGAGCAGCUGGGACUACAGGCAAGCACCGCCACGCCCAGAUCUUUUUUGUGUUUUUAGUAUAGACAGGGUUUCACCAUAUUGGCCAGGCUGAUCUCGAACUCCUGACCUCGUGAUCCGCCCACCUUGGCCUCCCAAAGUUCUGGGAUUACAGGCGUGAGCCACUGCCCCCAGCCUUACUUACAUUUUUAAAGAUGUUUUUUACCCCUUUUCAAAGGAAAAUAUGCAGACACACCCAUCCACAUACUUUCCUGGCUUGUAGCUUCUGUGGCCAUCAGCAACCCGAUAAAAACUUUUUGGCCAGGUGCAAUGCCUCAUGCCUAUAAUUCCAGCACCUUAGCAGGCCAAGGUGGGAGGAUUGCUUGAGGCCAGGAGUUCAAUACCAGCCUGAGAAACUAU
RNAcentral lists this long non-coding RNA (878 nucleotides) under Homo sapiens (human). Its description in RNAcentral is "HSALNT0376343". The record is from RNAcentral. Lineage: Eukaryota; Metazoa; Chordata; Mammalia; Primates; Hominidae.